RNAcentral lists this ribosomal RNA (733 nucleotides) under uncultured bacterium. RNAcentral's name for it is "bacterial SSU rRNA". It matches the Rfam family "Bacterial small subunit ribosomal RNA", at positions 82 to 847 of the family's 1533-position model. The record is from RNAcentral.
CAAGGUGAGUAAAGUGGCGUACGGGUGAGUAACACGUGGAUCAUCUGCCUUCUAGUGGGGAAUAACGCUGGGAAACCGGCGCUAAUACCGCAUAAGUCCGGGAGGAGAAAGCAGCAAUGCGCUGGAAGAGGAGUCCGCGGCCGAUUAGCUAGUUGGCAGGGUAAAAGCCUACCAAGGCAAAGAUCGGUAGCCGGCCUGAGAGGGCACACGGCCACACUGGCACUGGAACACGGGCCAGACUCCUACGGGAGGCAGCAGUGGGGAAUAUUGCACAAUGGGGGAAACCCUGAUGCAGCGACGCCGCGUGAGCGAUGAAGCCCUUUGGGGUGUAAAGCUCUUUCGGCAGGGAAGAUAGUGACGGUACCUGCAGAAGCAGCUGCGGCCAACUACGUGCCAGCAGCCGCGGUAAUACGUAGGCAGCAAGCGUUGUUCGGAAUUACUGGGCGUAAAGGGUGUGUAGGCGGUUGUUUAAGUUUGGUGUGAAAUCUCCCGGCUCAACUGGGAGGGUGCGCCGAAUACUGAGUGACUAGAGUGCGGGAGAGGAAAGUGGAAUUCCUGGUGUAGCGGUGAAAUGCGUAGAUAUCAGGAGGAACACCGGUGGGUGUAGACGGCUUUCUGGACCGUAACUGACGCUGAAACACGAAAGCGUGGGUAGCAAACAGGAUUAGAUACCCUGGUAGUCCACGCCCUAACGAUGCAUAUUUGGGUGUGGGUCAUUCAGUUGAUCCGUGCC